CAGUGCACUGUCUUUCCGAAGUUUGUUCUCUCGGUCAAAACUGGAGUCAAAAACAAACAAAAAAAGAACAAACAAAAAUAAUAAUUUAAUUUAAAAAAAACAACAAAAAAACAAAAACAAAACAAAAAAAACGACUAAACACAAACCGCUCGCGCUGUUCCGCGGGUAAAUAAUACUGAUUAUUCUCCGCGCGCAUGAAUGGAGAAGGGGGAAAGAGAGACGGGGGGAAAAUACCGACACACGCACGCACGCACACACACACACACACACACACACACGCACGCGUGAGUGUGUACAGAAGGAGAAAAUGCGGUGAAUGCGCGCGGAGUGAAGGAGUAAAGGGAAGAAUGAAGAUGGGAUGAAGGGAGGCACAAGUGGAGGAGUGAAGGGAUGAAGGAGUGGAGGAGUGAAGGGGUGAAGGAGUGAAGGGGUGAAGGGAUGAAGGGGUGAAGGAGUGAAGUAGUGGAGGAGUGAAGUAGUGGAGGAGUGAAGGAGUGAAGCGGCUCGAACGCGCGUCGGCUCGCAGUCACUUACUUUUCUGUGUCCUGUGACAUGAUGAUGUCUUUUGGACUCCUCGCCGAUAAUUCCUGGAGAAACUGGACUUUCAGCAGCCCUGAUUCCAUUGGUCGAGGUGUGUAAGGAGGUCGGGCUGUGAUUGGCUGAGCCAGCACAGGUCCUGAAGGCCAGGAAGUGAAAUCACAGAGAAAUGAUACCAACUGAACGAAAUGUGCUUAACCUCACGGGGAAACAUAACAGACGCCGAGGAAAGCGCUAUCUGCCUUCUUCCACACACACCAGCUAACAGAUCAUCACUGUGAUUGACAGGUGAGAGAGAGUAAGCCCCUCCCACCCACAGAGCAGGUCACACCUUUCCCUCUCUCACCUUUUUUGAAGUUGAAGUUAAAGUCACAAGUUCGAAUCCUGAAGAUGUCACAUGGCCGGAAGUCAAGAGAGCGAAACCGGCGGUGUUUUCUGGGUGGGAGGGGCUUACUCUCCCACGCCCCUGUCAAUCACAGCGACACGAGCCAAUCACAGGCAUCUGUGAGCUGGAGUAUGAGGAAGAGGACGAGAAGAGGAUACUGUAGACAGUGCCUUCCUGCGAGUUUAGAGUUCUUACUCUGUACUUCAUCGAGUUAAUCCACUCUUUUUGUUUCUCUUUUUGUUCACUCUUUUUGUUAAUUUCACAGAUUUAUGAAUUUAAACGUUCACCUCUUUAAAAAUGUUUUGUUUUUCACGCUUUUAAGAAGGUUCCCUCCCGUUUUAAAGUCUUUUUAGAAGUGAUUUCUGCAGAUUUUUAAUCUCUGAUUAACACGGAACACCCACACCACCACCAUUCCCUCAACUCGUCCAAUCACUCGCCUGCAGUAACCGCUUCAUCCUGUAUUCGUAAAUAUUUAUCAUAUGUGCGGCCAAUUUCAAGACAACUACCUCAGCGUACUGUUGCAGCGCACAAAUACGCAAUAUUUCUAUACUUUUUUAAAAAUAUUUCCCUUUUUCUAGUCGUAUGGAAGUAAUUGUGGUCUGUGUAAACUGUAUUUUAUGUCACGGACUGUCGUAAAAAGCCGUACUGUGUACGCUUGUGUGCGUGACGGUCGAAGGAUUGAGGUAAAAGUAGAUUUGGGAUCGAGUCGUCAGCGAUCAGCGACGGGCAGCCCUGAGACCCGACACACACGGGGUUUAUCCUGCGCCGCUCGGCGGGAAGCGAGUUUGAUGUGCAGGUGAGCGAGGCUGAAAGGACAGCGUGAUGUCAUGGAGUUGAUUCCGUUGCCGCUUGUGCAACUCGUCGUGAUGUGACUUGCCCUCCACUUAACUGUCAGCGUUAUUUCCCAGAAAUUAGCGAGGGCCGAGUGCCAUUCUCCCACGGUGCUGAGCUGAGAAAGCUUCCACGGAUCAGGCACGGACACGCCGCCAGACCUGACCAGGUAAACCUAACGCCUUCGACACGACACGACCGACACCUCGGGGUUCUACUGAUCCACUCCUGUACCACACGCUGGUCUCCUUUCUGAGCUCUCGCUCAUCCCAUGUACGAUCAGACCCGUUACACCUGCUCCGCCCUCCGUUCUCCGUCGGGUUUCAGCCGGGCUCCAUCGGAGAACCCUUUUAAGUUGCACAAGGAACCUUUUACUCUCAAGUUCUUUAGAGAACCUUCUAUUUACUGGUGCUUUAAAGAACCCUGUAAAGAUAUUUCUUCACAGCAGUGCCACAAGCAAACAUGUUAUCUUCGGUUCUCUAACAAAACAAAAAAAACCCUUGGUUAGUGCUUUAAGGAAGCAAAGUAAGGCUCUUAAGAGUGCUGCCUGAGAGGAGAACCUUUUCCAGUCCCACAAAGAACCCUAUAGAGUAUGGUUCAUGUUAAUGUGUUAAGCGAUGAUACCUUGAAGAUCCAAUACACUGCUCUGAAGAUCCUAUAACGAAACAUAACGAACCUCUUUAAUCUCCACGGAGCCGUACAGCUCAGCUCAGGAGCCCUGCAGUGAAAGAUGGUUCCCAUGGUGCUGUAAAGACCCAGAGAAGAGCCUUUAUUUUUAAGAGUGUGAGCUACGUGUGGUGCUAGACAGCUGUUUUAGCUACUUAAUGAAUAUUAACGAACAUUAUCACACACUCGUCGUAAUACGUUAUCGUCGCUAUAGUAACAGUUCAUUCACAGGAACAGCGGUGUACGGCUGCUGUAACGUAAGAGAGAACAGGAACUCACUUUAAAGGUUAAACUUUAAAGGAAAUCUAAUAGGAAAACUGUUUUCUGGUCCGGAAUGCUUGUUUGUGUGUGGGUCCUGGGGGCGGAGCUUUGUGAUCAUGGGCGGGAAUAGGUGGGGGUGUGUGUGGUUUCAAGAAGUUUAAAAAAAAAAUAUUUCAAACAUUUUAACUAAACGGUUAGAGAGCUAAACAUGUGGUAUAAAAUGGACUAAUCUUACCUAGUACACCUUUAAAUGUAACUAUAAACGGAUAAAAAUUACGAUGUGUUGUUCUGUAAUAAACAAAAAGUUGUUUACGGACUGUGUUUUAGGAGUCAGGAUCUGGAGGCUCGGAGUUCAGGACUCGGUCCAGUGUGUGUGUGUGUGUGUGUGUGUGUGUGUGUGUGUGUGUUAGUGCAUUAGAACCCCUGAUCUGCGCUGGACCUUCGGGUCCUCUGCGUAAACACAGCUGCAUUGUGAUCUGGAGGCUGAGGGGCGACACCUUCAGCACCUAAACACACACACCUUUGUUUUCAGGCGUCUGAGACAAAGCACUCGGUCAGUGGAGGAGAUAAUCAGAUUUACUGAGAUCAGAUAAACAUCUCAGUAUCCUGACCUCACACACACACACACACACACACACACACACACCUGGUCUGAUCUGUAAUACAAACCUGCGAUAACAUUCAUCAGGCUUUCAUGGCGGUUCUGUCUGAUACACACCAUGUUGUUGAGUCUGAUGUUCAGUCUGAUGUUCAGUCUGAUGUUCAGUCUGAUGCUGAGUCUGAUGUUCAGUCUGAUGUUCAGUCUGAUGCUGAGUCUGAUGUUCAGUCUGAUGUUCAGUCUGAUGCUGAGUCUGAUGUUCAGUCUGAUGUUCAGUCUGAUGCUGAGUCUGAUGUUCAGUCUGAUGUUCAGUCUGAUGCUGAGUCUGAUGUUCAGUCUGAUGUCCAGUCUGAUGUUGACAGAUUGAUGCACAUUGAAAGUUUUUAGGUUAUUGUUCUAAAAAUAAAGAAAACCUUUUCUCUUUA
Ictalurus punctatus (channel catfish) is the source of this 3703-nucleotide long non-coding RNA. RefSeq lists it as uncharacterized. Lineage: Eukaryota; Metazoa; Chordata; Actinopteri; Siluriformes; Ictaluridae. The record is from RefSeq and is a predicted model, not a curated record. The transcript has 4 exons.